Molecule: ribosomal RNA, 253 nt
Filed under: uncultured bacterium
Lineage: Bacteria
Description: partial 16S ribosomal RNA
Rfam family: Bacterial small subunit ribosomal RNA
Source: RNAcentral
UACAGAGGUCUCAAGCGUUGUUCGGAUUCAUUGGGCGUAAAGGGUGUGUAGGUGGCGCCGUAAGUCGGGUGUGAAAUUUCGGAGCUUAACUCCGAAACUGCAUUCGAUACUGCGGUGCUUGAGGACUGGAGAGGAGACUGGAGUUCAUGGUGUAGCAGUGAAAUGCGUAGAGAUCAUGAGGAAGACCAGUGGCGAAGGCGGGUCUCUGGACAGUUCCUGACACUGAGACACGAAGGCCAGGGGAGCAAACGGG